Molecule: ribosomal RNA, 433 nt
Filed under: uncultured bacterium
Lineage: Bacteria
Description: partial 16S ribosomal RNA
Rfam family: Bacterial small subunit ribosomal RNA
Source: RNAcentral
AACGAACGCUGGCGGCAUGCCUAACACAUGCAAGUCGAACGAGACCUUCGGGUCUAGUGGCGCACGGGUGCGUAACGCGUGGGAACCUGCCCUUAGGUUCGGAAUAACUCCCCGAAAGGGGUGCUAAUACCGGAUAAUGUCUUCGGACCAAAGAUUUAUCGCCUUUGGAUGGGCCCGCGUUGGAUUAGCUAGUUGGUAGGGUACAAGCCUACCAAGGCGACGAUCCAUAGCUGGUCUGAGAGGAUGAUCAGCCACACUGGGACUGAGACACGGCCCAGACUCCUACGGGAGGCAGCAGUGGGGAAUAUUGGACAAUGGGCGAAAGCCUGAUCCAGCAAUGCCGCGUGAGUGAUGAAGGCCUUAGGGUUGGAAAGCUCUUUUACCCGGGAUGAGAAUGACAGUACCGGGAGAAUAAGCUCCGGCUAACUACGUG